This 12063-nucleotide long non-coding RNA is filed under the name Lathyrus oleraceus (garden pea). Its description in RNAcentral is "Pisum sativum (pea) long non-coding RNA (PSAT_LNC036735)". The record is from RNAcentral. Lineage: Eukaryota; Viridiplantae; Streptophyta; Magnoliopsida; Fabales; Fabaceae.
AAGAAUCAUUACAUGAGAAUACCAAAGCUUCCUUUUCUCUUUAUCCAUGGAGGGCUCUAGAACAUAUGUGUGAUUCCCUAUGAGGAUAAGGUUGGGGAUGUCAACAAAAAAAAAGAUGGGAUGAGUAACCCUGAAGACACGACCAAAAGCCAUUGUUGGGUCUUAUAAGCUUCUUAGAAAAUAAGCGGUUGAGAAACAAAAAUAGGAGUUACAAAGUUUUUUAAAAGGUUGUUUAGGGUUUUUGAAGAAGAAAAUGGUGAAAGAAAAGAGAAGAUGUUAAAGAAGCCUAUAAAUAGCCACAAAGAUGAAGAAAAUUUUGAGUUUCCCUCCAAAAGAAUUGGGACAAGUGGUAAGUAUGAGUCAACAUAUGGCAUUGUAAUUUAUUGGGGAAAAUAAAAUAAAAUGAACUAUUUUAAAAUUCAUUUAAGUUAGUGGCUUAUUAUUGUCCUAGGAACUCAAAUGAUGAACGAUCUGCACACACGUUUGUGACGUGACGAUUUGAUAGAAAGUGGACACGAUGACCAUGACGUGUACAUGCUACGGUAAAUAAUGUCAGACAUUUACUAAAAACUUUACUUUUCUCACAUAUGAUACAUAUGAUUGAAAGUGACAUUUUUAGAGGACAUCUAUUAGCCUGAGAUUUCCAGCUAAGUCAAAAAUCAAUGAAUUGAUGGUCAUAACUACGUUGACAUUACUAAGUGUCUUAAACUAAAAGCUUUGACAUAUUGACUGUAUCAACAUGUUGGUUCAAUUGACCUGUAAGUGAAGUCGAGAUCAAGAACGAUCGGGAGGAGUCUCAGAAACAUAUACACAAGAUUAUGACCACUCUCUCUUCCAAACAUGUUUAGAAUCUUGAAAAAGCACAUAGCAACCCUUUGACAUGACGUCGAAGUUGGCACUUUUAAGUGUUAAAGAGUGAAUAUUUUCAAGUCCAAAGACCGUGAUCUGGAGAUAUCUUAGCCUUCCACAAGGGCGAAUAAAGCAUUCAAAAAUGGUUAUGAACAAAGUUAUCACCCUAUUUGAUUUUGGUUUUCAGCAGUUUCUCUUUGAAGACGCGUGGAAGCAAGUUAGAGCAAAACAACCCCACAUAGUAGGACACACGUUGAACAUAUAACCAACAACUGUUAUUGACGGUUAUUUUAGGACUAAUAUAUAAUGCAAGCUUAUGCAUUGUAGUUGAGGUCACAAAUUUUUCAUUCAUUCUCUAUAGAACUAGAGUAUCCAAGUCAUCAGGUGAAAUAGUUUGUGAUGAAUGUGAGUCUGGAUCCACUCUUUAAAUUUGCUGAAAAUCUUUUGUAUUCCAAGCAUUUACAAUUAAUGUCAUUUACUUCGUUUAAUUUGAUUAUUGCUUUUUAUCUUUAUCCAAAGUUUAUUGCUUGCAUCUAGUUGAUUUAUUACCCGAGCAUUUUAAAUCCAAAUCACACACUUUAUAUCGUAUAUUUUCUUUACACAAAUUAUCUUUGAUAUUUUUUGAGUUAAUCUUUUAAGUGAACUAAACUCUUGAUUGUUUACUAAAAAACACUAGUAAACACAAUCACACAAAAAUCUUUACCCUCCACUAAGGCAAUCACACGAUGCAUAUGACAUGUCAUGCAUGAUGAAAAAAUGACAAUAUAAUCUUAUUGAAGUCAAUUCGGGGGUCAACACGAGGGGACAUUUUUUACUUUUGCGACUUUUCUUUAUGAGCAACACACUUUUGUGAAAGACACACCGUAAACUCACCAAAAAUCGUAUGAUGAUAGGUGUGUGAGUUCUCUCACUUAUAAAUGCUGAAGUCUCCACAUUUAUAACCAAUGUGUGACUUCUCCAUAUUACUCACACUUAUUUAUUCUCAACAAUUCCCCUCAAAUGUGAGUCUAUCCACAAUGAUUCCCCUCAAGUAGAAACUUUUUUUUCAUCACACACACUUGUGCUGUCGUUGACACUCUUCAACGAGGCACUCUAUCCACGAUCAUGUGACGAUACUUUCGAUACAAGUGAGUCGACUCCUUCACUCAAACCAAAGUCUAAUGAUACCACUGUUAAGGUCAAUUCUGUUGAAACACGAGAGGUCAUUUUUUAUGUUUGAGAUUUUUUUUUACUAGCAUAAGACCCCUUGUGAAAGACACAUCACAUACUCAUCAAAAACCUUAAGAUGAUAGAUAUGUGGAUUCUUCUACUUAUAAAUACUAAAAUCUCCACAUUUCUAAUUAAUAUAAGAUUUCUCAUGCGUCUCACACUUUUGAUUGUCAACCACUCCCACCGCUUAAACAUUCAAAAAGUAGAAAUAAUAAUUAUCAUUUCACCACCCAAGAACUUAUAAGUUAUAAUUACAUUAUAAAAUCAUACUAAUAAUAGGACUCUAAUGUUCCUCUCUUUUUCUUCGGUUUGCAUACAUCGCCUAGACACACAUAUAAAAUGCUCAGUAUACAAUAUAUACAUAUAUAAUUUCCUCUUACACCAUAUUGGUAUAUACUUGACCUUCGAAUACAACGGUUCUGCUUAGACUAGCUUUAGGAUCUAAUUCCUAUAUGAUUGCAUAUAUUACCUACUCAAUGUGUACACCUAAACAAAUAAUAAACUAACAAUAUACAGUCUUUGGAAACUAAUACACCUCAUUACUCUUUUAUCCAUCCGAAUUAAUUGUAGCUUAUUCUGCACAAUGACUCUUAAAAUUGUUGAAAAUUCACGUGAUUUAUAUGAUACUUAAUAUAUAAAAAAAUUAUUUAACCAAUAGCGUGAAAAAUACAAAGGAGAACAAUAAAAUAUAUACAUCAACCCAACUCCUAAAUCAAAUCUAACUUAAAUUUAAAGAUUAUACAAUCUUAUUACACGAAUAAAAAAUUUAAAGUGCGAAAUGAUGCCCAGAAUAAAGUGAAAGAGAUAUUAAUGUUGCAAAAUUAUCGGUGAAUAUAAAGUAGAAAUUUUCAAAAAAAUUCUAAAAUAAUCCAAAAUUUUAUUUUUUUUCUUCAAAAUAAUUCUGUUUUAAAAAAAAAUCUCAAACUACCAAACUUUUAGGAGGUGACGUUAACCCAAUUGGUGACUCCUCUUAAAAAUAGAGUGCAUGCGCCAAUUGAGUUGGCUAGGGCACAUGGUGCAACCAAUUCAAUUGGUACCCAUGUGUAAUUUUUCAAAGAAGACGCCAAUUGGAUUGACACUCAGUGUAUUUUGUAUUUUUUUGGAUUAUAAAUAGAGGUGUUGUAUGAAUCAUUCUUCCACAUCUCAUUUCAUCAUUUGUCAAUCAUGUUUGAUGUUCAUCGUCGCUAGGGAAAGAUGAUUUAUGCGAGAGACAAACCUCAGAUGUUGAUGCUCGUCUGGAAUAUCACUACGUUCGAUCAACUGAAGAGGGAGUUGGUUCGUUGGUUAGAUGGGAAAUACCAUAAGGAAAAAAAAUUAGAAGUAUUGAGAGACUCGACAGUAUCUUUGGUUGGGUGCGAAUGAAAACUGAUAAGGAUGUUAGGGAAAUGAUGUUCGGACGAGAUGACAUCACUUUGAUUGUUGUAAUCAGUUAGAAAUAUUUUGUUUUCAGUUUGCUUAUGUUGUAGUUACAUCACUUAUGUUUUCAGUUAAAAAUAUUCUGUAAUCAGUAACAAAAACUUAAUGAUAUAUAAGAAUUGAAGGUUACAAAAAUCCAAUGUUACAAAAAGAUUAUGACCCAGAUGAUGCUCCUCGAUUGGGACAGUUGUUCUUAUUGUGUCCAGGUUGAAGACAAAUACUACAUAGUCUUAUCAUUUUAUCUAUCGUAUCCAUUUCUGUCCUGAUGCAUGUGUUGUUUGGCCGUCCUUUUUUCUUUCUACGCAUCUCGUCGUUGUGUCAAACUAUGUCACCCUCGUAUGGAGGUAAAUAUUCCUCCAUUGGUAGCACCGAGAAGCUAUUAUUAUAGACAUUCAUGAUGGUGAUGACCUUGUACACAUCAGAUAAAUGGUUGUAAGCGUCCUGACGAGUAUGUGUGCAUGCUGCAAUGACAUGGGAGCAAGGAAUGCGGAAGACUUGAAAUUUUCCAUAACCGCACCAACUUCUAUUUAGUUUGACAGCAUAGGUUAAAUUUGGUCUCCCCUCGUUGUGGUCCAUUGUUUCCUAAACGCUGAAAUUUUGUCUAUGACGGUCAAAGACUGUUACAACGUGUGUGCUAGCUUUGAUGUUUUCCUCUUUCAUGACUUUCAUGCAACACUCACUGAAUACUUUCCUAGACAUUAACACCGCACUCCAUCUUUCACCUCUGGUUGCGAAUGUAGAAGUCAAUCUAUAAUAGGUUGAUUUGACCAAGGCGGUUAUUGACAGAUUUCUAAUGCCUUUGAAUACGCUGUUCAUGCAUUCCACAAGGUUUGUUGUCAUGUGGCCCCAUCGACAGUCUCCGUCAAAUGCAUUUGUCCACUGCUCUACUAGUAUGUUAUUCAGUCAUCUUCCCGCAUCUUCAUUAGACAAUCUAAUCCCAUCACGGUAAUAUUGAAAUGACGAUUGUGUUAGCGCAUACCCAACAUUCACCACCAUUUUGCGAAGAUUCUUAUCUUUUAUUGCACGCAUGAAGUUUUGUGCAAUAUGUCUAAUGUAAUAGACACGGGUAGAAGGAUAAUCAUGUCAUCCGUUGUCAUGGUUAUUAUAGGCACUCUCAAUGACAGCAUGUCUAUCAGAAAUCAAACAUAGAUUGGCUUGUGGAGCCACAUACGUUCUGAGAUGUCGAAGAAAGAAACCCCAACCACCAACAAUUUCACCUUCAACCAGAGCAAAGGCAAUGAGAAAUACAUUGUUGUUGGCGUCUUGUGCAACCGUCAUAAGCAAAGUACCCUCGUAUUUGCUGUAUAAUCAUGUUCCAUCAAUUUGAAUAAUAGAUUUGUAGAAUGCUAAUCCAAUUGACGUCUCCUUUGAAAAAUUACACAUGGGCGGCAAUUGAAUUGGCUGCACCAUGUGCCCUAGCCAAUCCAAUUGGCGCAUGCACUCUAAAUUUAAGAGGAGACACCAAUUGGAUUGACGUCUCUUCCUAAAAAUAGGGUAAUUUGAGAUUUUUUUUGAAAAUAGAGUUAUUUUGAGAUUUAUUUUGAAAAACUGAGUUAUUUUUAUAAAAAAAUCUAUAAAAUAUUUUCGUGAGAUUGUUUUUGUUCAGAAAUAAUUUACCCUCCUGUGAACUAAAGAAAGGUAUGAAUCCUCUUUUUCACGUGAGUUAGGUUGAUUACUAUGUAAAUUAAAUUAAAAGAUGUAAGAGUUGAGUGAAUAGAGGAGAAAAUAGUGGAACAAAAUGUGAGAAUUGGUUUUCUUCUCUCAAAAGCCCACGUACUGAUUUCUUUUUCAUAGACCCUUACUACCAAUGGCUCUCAUAAUUACUACAACAACUACACACAAGUUACUUUUCCUUCUUAUAUUUAAUUUGUUUAAUUGUUUCUUUGAUUUUAUUUAUUUUACACCAAUAACUCACUACUAGUAUAUUAUAUAUUACCACUAUUACUACAAUUAUUAUUAUUAUUAUUAUUAUUAUUAUUAUUAUUAUUAUUACUAUUAUUAUUAUUAUUAUUAUUAUUAUUAUUAACCCACUCUUAUAAUAAAUAUUAAUAAUAAACUAGUUUCUCAAUUAAAUAAAAAAAUUAAACAUAUUAUAAUUUUUGAAUCUAAGACCAGACAAUUAGAAGAUUCUCAUUUCAAAACCACAAAAUAAAUCAAUAAAAAUAAAUUGUUUAAUCAUUUGAUAUUAAAAAAAUAACUAAAGAUUCUUAACAAAGCAAUAAUAAAAAAACUUAGGGGUGUUAUAAUGGUGUUGAAUAGAGUUUUUUUAGGACGAUUCCGAGAAAUAUCAUAGUCGAAAUGUUUUUGAUUUGAUGGUCUUACUUGUGAAGAGUCAAUGUUUGGUGAUGGUGAGAACUUUUCUUAGUAGCUUUGGAGGCUUUAUGCAUCAAGACCCAUUUUUUUGUCUUCAAUUUACAUCUAGUUAGGUUGUGUUUUCCUAUUUUGAUUGAAUUCUCAAUUGACUCGUCCAUCUCUAAAUUAAAUCCAACGAGCAUUAGAAUCUUCAUAAUCCGAUAACCAUCGGUGACCAUGCACUUCCCUUCCUUCGUAUUUUGAUCAUGUGGUAGAUUACCCCACUAGACUAUUUUGUUUUAUCUUUAUUGGUUAGUAGCAAUAUCAUUACCACGUUGAUUUUUGACACUUGCCCAAGAUUGAGUUUCCUUGGGAUGAGAAUAUUGGCUGUGACAUAGUGGAUAAGACAACAUUAGGAGUCACAUUUUUCACAAAUGAGUUGAAAUUUGUGACCGAAGGUUGUAACAAUCAUAAAUGAUUUAGAAGUAUAGAGAUAAUCAAAAUCAUGAAUUGAUUUGGGAAUCUCAUAAGAGUAUACCGAGUUGGAGCAGGGUAUAUAACAAAUAAUAAUAUUUUUUCCAAAGAAAGAGAAAUUUCAUGCUUAUAUCUUCUGUCUUAAUAACCUCUUCUUCAUAGUUGAUAUGAGUGGGAAACAUCUACACCAGCUUUGGGAACAUCUCUUAUGAUUUAUUGUAGAAGAGAUUCUUGAGAUCACCUUGGACGAAGACGUUGAAAAACUCAAACUUUCCAUAAACACUCUCAUUCAUAUAAUAUGUUGGGAUGAGAUGUUUGUCAGCAAAAUGUUGAUAGAGCUUUUUCUCUUGUUAUAAGGACGAAAAAUCAUCGCACAUUUAGAUUGGAGCAAAUGAACUUGCGGAGGUGCAUAGUCUUUUUGGUGCCGUUAGUGAUGAUGAUAAUAACAAGAGUAACACAAGAAGGAAAUAAAGUAAAAAAUGAUAUCAAUAAGAGAGUAUGACAUGGAUGCAAAGAAAAAAAACACGAUUACUUAUUUAUAAUUUUGUUUUAAUCGAUUAAAAUGAUUUUAGCUAAUUGAUGCAAUGAUAACAAUCAAUUUGAUUGAUUGAUGGAGGUGGUGUGCAUCUUUUAAAGAUUUAAUCAAUUAAAAUUAUAUGUUUAAUCGAUUAAAAGGCGCAAAAUUUGAAUUUCUAAACGCCUAAUUGAUUAACCCUUUAAGUUUAAUCGAUUAAUAGGUGAGUUUUCAGCUUCAUUGGUCUGCUUGGUCUUUAAAUGGCUUAGGGCCUGAGUUAUGCUUUUAUCACCUCCUCCUUUUAGUUUUCAUACCCCUUUUUUUGCUAAACACUUUAUUUUUCAAUAAAUAGGUUAGUAGGAAAAUAAACAAAAUGAUUAUGCAAUAAUUUAGUAUUUGUUAGAGGAAUAACUGAAGUUUAACAACCUAAUCCGGACGAUACGAAAGCCGACAGACGAAAUUGAGAAAACUUAUAACUAGGCAAAAGUAAUGACUCAUCGAAUAAAAAUCUGGACUAUGCGAAAGGCGACAAAUUAUUCGUCGAUGAUAUGGGCGAUGCGCUGAGAAAGCAGGUAGUGCCCAAUUUUAUCUAUUUUCUAUCAUUUAUGCAAAAAUCUCGCAAUAGAUGUGAAAAUGAUCAUAUGAUUGUGUUAGAAACAUGAACUGUAACCCAGAGUCUUGUUUUCCCUAAUUUGGUACUUAAGUGAUUUUUUCUGCUAUUUCUAUUUAAUUACUUUUUCAUUCAAGUUAUUUACUAAAGAAUCUCCCUUUGAUUUCUCUAGAUACACACCGGUUGGAUAAGGAUUCAAUACUUAAACCAUUGGUCCUUAUGGUUUGAUAUCUAUUUUAUUACUUCACGAUAGCCGUGCACUUGCGUAUGCAUUAAGUUUUUGGCGCCUUUAUCGGGGACUAAUUGCAUUUGAUAUAGAAUUUCUAUUUGAUCAUCGUAUAGACUUGAGUUUAUUUUUCUGCUUUUUUUUGUUGUGUUUGUUUGUCGUGGUUCUCGCUGCCUUUGUAUGCGAGGAACUCGUUUUGAUUAUUCUAAUCUACUAUCGUAGAGAUUAUGACAACUUUUUCUUUUAUGUUGUUUCUUUUGUGGUAUGCACGAGGUCUGUCUAAAAUAUGUUCAAUUAUGUGAACAAUAACCCUAAAGACUUUUAUCCCAAUACCUAUAAUCCAGGGUGGAUGGCUCACCAAAAUAUUUACUAUGAUAACCAAUCCCAUUAUUUUGAGGAACCACAAAAUUUACAGCAAUCCAACCUUGAAAUGUUAAUGGAGAAUUUUAUUGAGACACAAACUCACUCUAACCUGGAAUCUAUGAUGGAGAGUUUUGCAAUAACACAAAGUCUCCUGAAUGAAAAGUUUAGAAAUCAAACCUCCUCACCAAUGAGGCAAUUAGGUAGUUGAACACUAAGAUUGACAACGUUAUCACCCAUACCAAAAUGUUGGAGACUCAAAUCUCCCAAGUAGUAUAAUAAUAAGCUGAUUCUUUUGUCCAUCCCGAAAUAUUUAUGGGGCAACCUGAGCAAAACCCCAUGGGACGUGAAUGUUGUAACAACCAAAAGUGAAAAACAAGUUGAAAUUCAUAGGGAUAAUGAUAAAAAGGUUGAUAGGAGUUCUAGUGAGAAAAAUGUAGAGAGUGAGAAAAACCUAUCGACACCAUCCGAAAAGGAAGUAGUCAAAGAGGUAGAGAAGGAAACGCAUUAUGUUGCUCCUACUCCCUACAAGCCACCAAAUCCUUUUCCGUAUAUAUUUUUGGAAGCUAAGGUAGGUACCCAAUCCAAUAGGUAUGUGGAGAUAGUGGAAAAGAUCCUUACCAAUGCACCAUUAACCGAGGUCCUGUCUAAAUAUAGAAUAUUAGAGGACCAUGAAAUUGGAAAAAUUAUUAAUGUUAAGAUGGGAAUGUUCAACUUUGAGCUGGGGAAUAAAAGGAUUAAAUUAAAACCCGAAAAGUUGAUACUUAGGAUAGAACCUGAACCGCCCUCACAUGUUCAAAAGUAUGAAUCACCCCAUAGAAAGAAGAAUAAUAAAAAUAGUGGAUAUGAGAGAUGACUUGAUAAAUGGGCAUGGACAGAUAAUACUAUGGAGAGUGAGGUUGAGGAAUCAUUUUUGAAAGAGCCACCAUGAGUUCUUGCACUCAUCGCCGGUCAAGCUCAACGAUCUUAAACAAAGCGCUUCGUGGGAGGCAACCCACGUUUUUUCGCACUAAUUUGUUUCCUUUUCUUUGUUUCUUUUUAGUAAAUUAAAAGCUCAUAUAAUGAAGCCGUAUAAUUUCUAAAUUGGUGAAAAAAAUUGAGAAAAACUAAUCGAGGAAUUGCCCGGAAGAAAAUCCCAAAAGCCUAAGAAACCACAAAAAUUCCAUAGAAAGCCAGUUGCAUGUUACGGGCACAUGUAUCCAUUUCUAAGAGUCGUAGCAGGCCCACCAUCCAAACCCUAAAUCCAACCCACAUUAACCUUGGGAAGCAUCGCCCUACUACGGGCAUCCGUAACACGCGCUACGGGCUGUAUCAGGGCAUGCAGAGGGAGAUUCAAAUUUUCAAAUCUUUUCCAAUUUCAAAUCUCCUUGGGACCCCACACACACCUCUUAAUACACCAAUCAUCAUACAUUUAAUUCCUUUUAAAUACCCCAAAUCUGAACUUUAACCCGUCAUUACCUCACCUUUUCUCUUUCCAAAUCUCUCAUUCAUCUUCAUUAUUCUCCCAAAUUUUUAUCCAAACCUCCAUUACAAAGCUUCCACCUUUAGCCUUUUAUUAACCAUAACCAUCAUACCAUCUUUGCAAAACCUUACCCAUUAACCAUCCCAAGCAUACUUCCGGGAACAAAUAAAGAAAACUCAUCACUCCAAAUUUUCUCAAAAAGUUUCAUUCAUCAAUGGCACCGAAAAGAGCCGAUAAAGGAAAGCUAGUGGUAGAGUCCUCAAGACCUUGAAAUAGGGGAAACACUCUUUUGUUAAAUCCUUAUAAUAUUAUCUUCGAGGAUUACUCACAAGCACAAAUGUACUCAACGCUCAUCAAGCGGAGGAUCACUCCGUCGAUGUAUGUUUAUGAAACCACCCUUACUACUUUUGGUUUGAAAGUGGAACUAGAUAAGAUGUUCCAUUCGACAUGGUUGCUAGAAUUCAUGCAAAAAUAAUCCCCUACAUUUGAGAAAAUUACUCUUAAGUUCCUUAGUGCCUUAUAUUUCAAGUUGCAAAUGAAGUAUAUAGAUGGAAUGAGGUACUAUUACGGUACUCUCAAAUUCUGGUUGUUUAAUCAAAAUCAUGAGCUUAAUGUAGAAGAAUUAAGGCACAUCCUCCAAUUUCCCAUCCAUGGACCGAGUGAUGUGCCAAAAGAGUUUGAUGCUACUAGCUUUUGGUGUGCUAUUUUCGGUGAUUCCUACUACACCGUCACAUGGCCAAUGUAUCCCUAAUUCAAAACCCAUGCUUUCGAUACGCGCAAAAGGCAUUUACCCACACCUUAUUCAGAAGGGGUGAUAAUAUCGAAGUUGCUACUCAAAUAAAGUUAUUUUUUAUGCAUUACAUGACAAAUAAUGGAGUUGUUAAUGCCAUCGCCUUUGCGGCGAAUCAUUUGGGCAAGGUAUCUCAUACGGCUACUGGAGACAUUUUGGUAGGGGGUAUGAUUACCCAAAUCGCUGAAUACCUUGGUUUUGAAUUUAACUUGAUCGAGGAUGUUGUUGUUGAAGGAAAUAAUAAGAUUUACAUGGAAUCCCUUGUUCACCAAGGAAUGAUUUAUAUAUAUGUGAACACUUUUACGAUGAUGGUAAGAAACAACUUCGUUCUUGACUUGCCCAAUCCAAAGAAGGAAAGAAUUGACAUUUUGAGUAAUUGGAUUUAUCAAGCGGGGGCACCCUCUCCGGAUACCACAUUCGAGAGUGAGAUUGAACCCAAAAAUUCUAACCAUCAUGUAGGUACUGCUAUGGAGGAGGAUGUUGUCCCUUCACCUUCACGUUCCACCUAACACGAAGCAGACACUUUGAAUUCUUAUUACAAUAGGUGGGAUUGGGUUCAAUCGGAGAUCCAAGGGAUGAGAAUGGAGAAAAAUAGGCAAUGAGUGGUCUUGGAUGAUGUCUAAGUUAUGACGCAACAACUUAUGUUGCGGUUCCUUCCUCCAGAAUAAGUUAUUGUGAGUUCUGCUCCCUCUUUCUUGAGCUUAAACAUUGAGGAUAAUGUUUGGUUCAAGUUUUUUUUUUGGGUAUCUAUUUGUUUUUAUGUCAUUUUUAUUUCUUAAAAUUGUAUGCUUUUGUUUCUUCCUAGUUUUUAAUAAUUUUCUAGUUUGAUUGAUGCAUUAAGACCAUAUUCUCAUACUAUUUCUUGAUACUAAGACUAUGCCAUAUUUUUAUGACAAGCUUGGGUUGUAGGGAAGAUGAGAAAGUAUAUAGAGUUUGAGGAAAGAAAGGCUAUGACUACGGACAUUGGGAAAUAUUGAAAACUUAGGUAUGACCCAAACACCCUAAGUCCCCCGAUGUAAGGAUGCGAGUCCAAUAUGUAGAUAGUACUCGACUCUGAGAAGUAUUUCCUAAUUAGUUUAUAUUGACGGUCUGACAUAAUUAAAAGACUUGCAUGUAUGUAUAAUUGGUUGAGAAAUAGAUAAUUUGGGCACCAAAAUGAUGAAAAGUCAAUAAAGAUAACUAGACCUUCUAAGUUGGGCAACUCUUACCCGAUUAUUUAGCCUAACGACGAUUGAUUAUAAAAUGUCGUGUCCCAAAGUGGACCAAUAUACACCAAAGUGCGUAAAAUCAUCGAAAAAUAAAAAAAUAAAUAAAAAGGUGUCUAGAAAAAAAAUCUCGAUUGAUCUUGUGCAUGUGAGGUAAUAAAUAAUUGCAAAUGCUUUAAUAUGAUUGUCUGAAUGAAAGGGGAAGAAAUUCAAAAAAGAUACUUAAGCCCAAAGCAAAGUUGGAGUGAUGUCUGAAAGGGAGACUUAGGUUCGUGGUUUUACCGCAAUUAGUGUUCUUGAAUUACCUUCCUUAACGAAUGAUUACCAAGAGAACUAGACCUAGCCGAUCAGAACAAAGACUGACGUAUGAGUACCAUUGAUCAUGUUUCUGUAUGCUUUAUCAUGAUAUGAUCGCUUGAUUCGAAAACUCAUGAAUGUAAGCUUUAUUGCUUUAGGGCAAACAAUAAUCUAAGUUUGAGGGAGUUUGAUAAGUGGUAUUUGCAUAAUUAUUUCUAGUAGUUUCCUUUAGUAAUUUACUGCAUUUUAUUCUAUUUCCUUUCAUUUGUCAUGUUUUAUGCGUUGGUUCAUGUUUUAUUAUGAAUUUCAGGGUCUAAUGAGCAUCUAAGCAAAGAGGGACCAAAGGCAAGAGAAACAAA